This 882-nucleotide ribosomal RNA is filed under the name uncultured marine archaeon. RNAcentral describes it as "bacterial SSU rRNA". It matches the Rfam family "Archaeal small subunit ribosomal RNA", at positions 5 to 879 of the family's 1478-position model. The record is from RNAcentral.
CGGUUGAUCCUGCCGGAGGUUACUGCUCUGGGAGUCAGAUUAAGCCAUGCUAGCGGAGGGCAGGUCGGCUGCCCCGCGAAUAGCUCAGUAACACGUGGUCAAUCUACCCUUGGGAUUGGGAUAACCCCGGGAAACUGGGGAUAAUCCCAAAUAGGCGGGGGGUUCUGGAAAGGUCCCUCGCUGAAAGCCCUACGGGCGCCUAAGGACGAGACUGCGGCCUAUUAGGUAGUUGGUGAGGUAAAGGCUCACCAAGCCGAAGAUGGGUACGGGCCCUGAGAGGGGGAGCCCGGAGAUGGAGACUGAGACAAGGCUCCAGGCCCUACGGGGCGCAGCAGGUGCGGAAAUUCUGCAAUGCGUGCAAGCGCGACAGAGUGACUCCCAGUGCCGAUGGUCGCUAACGACCGUCGGCUUUUCUGGAAUGUAAAAAGUUCCGGGUAAUAAGGGCCGGGUAAGAUUGGUGCCAGCCGCCGCGGUAACACCAGCGGCUCGAGUGGUAACCGAUUUUAUUGGGCUUAAAGCGUCCGUAGCCGGACCGACGGGUCCCUUGUGAAAUCGGACGGGUUAACCGUUCGGCUUGCAGGGGAAACUGUUGGUCUUGAGGCUGGUAGGCGCCGAGGGUACUCCGGGGGUAGCAGUGAAAUGCUAUAAUCCUUGGGGGACCGCCAGUGGCGAAAGCGCUCGGCGAGGCCAGACCUGUCGGUGGGGGACGAAGGCCAGGGUAGCGAACCGGAUUAGAUACCCGGGUAGUCCUGGCUGUAAAGGAUGUGAGUUAGGUGCUAGGCGCUCCUCGAGAGCGUCCGGUGCCGAAGGGAAGCCAUUAAGCUCACCGCCUGGGAAGUCCCGUCGCAAGACGGAAACUUAAAGGAAUUGGCGGGGGAGCAC